GCUUGAUGCUGUAUCGGAAGUUCUCCAUUCAGAAUCUAGUGUGUUUGGUCAGAUAGAAAAUCAUCUACGUAAAUUGCCCGACAUAGAGAGGGGACUCUGUAGCAUUUAUCACAAAAAAUGUUCUACCCAAGAGUUCUUCUUGAUUGUCAAAACUUUAUAUCACCUAAAGUCAGAAUUUCAAGCAAUAAUACCUGCUGUUAAUUCCCACAUUCAGUCAGACUUGCUCCGGACCGUUAUUUUAGAAAUUCCUGAACUCCUCAGUCCAGUGGAGCAUUACUUAAAGAUACUCAAUGAACAAGCUGCCAAUUGGGGAUAAAACUGAAUUAUUUAAAGACCUUUCUGACUUCCCUUUAAUAAAAAAGAGGAAGGAUGAAAUUCAAGGUGUUAUUGACGAGAUCCGAAUGCAUUUGCAAGAA
RNAcentral lists this long non-coding RNA (416 nucleotides) under Homo sapiens (human). RNAcentral's name for it is "HSALNT0090276". Lineage: Eukaryota; Metazoa; Chordata; Mammalia; Primates; Hominidae. The record is from RNAcentral.